This 398-nucleotide long non-coding RNA is filed under the name Macaca mulatta (Rhesus monkey). Its description in RNAcentral is "lncRNA (ENSMMUG00000049648.1)". Lineage: Eukaryota; Metazoa; Chordata; Mammalia; Primates; Cercopithecidae. The record is from RNAcentral.
GGUAGUUGGCGGGGCUUUCUUACCCACAACAUUUCAUCCGUCCUUGCAGUUGGCUGCAUGAUAUAUUUAUUAUUAUGCCAUUUUACAGAUGAGAAAACUGAGACUCGAGUCCACAGGCUAACCAGGGACAGCCUUGGGCCUUCACUCUACUGCCCUUCGCCUCUGUUAUGAGCAUGUGCACAUCAGUCAAGGCUGAAGCAAUCCUUUCAAUGAAAGAAAAUGAUAUUUGCUGUAACUUCCAGCCACUGCUCGAAGAUGAAGAUGAGGCUCAAAGCUGGACAGUGGAGGGAGGCCAGCCAAGGUCAGAACUGCAGAGAUGGCAGAAACAUUCUCCAAGAGACAUUUGAAAGGACCUAGGAUGAAGCCCCGGCAUGGCCCUGCGUGGAGCCAGGACUUGG